GCGUCUGUAGCUCAAUGGAUAGAGCACUUGACUUCGGAUCAAGAUGUUGCGGGUUCAAGUCCUGCCAGGCGCGCCU
Molecule: transfer RNA, 76 nt
Filed under: Chloroflexota bacterium
Lineage: Bacteria; Bacillati; Chloroflexota
Description: Chloroflexi bacterium tRNA-Arg
Rfam family: tRNA
About the family: Transfer RNA (tRNA) molecules are approximately 80 nucleotides in length. Their secondary structure includes four short double-helical elements and three loops (D, anti-codon, and T loops). Further hydrogen bonds mediate the characteristic L-shaped molecular structure. tRNAs have two regions of fundamental functional importance: the anti-codon, which is responsible for specific mRNA codon recognition, and the 3' end, to which the tRNAs corresponding amino acid is attached (by aminoacyl-tRNA synthetases). tRNAs cope with the degeneracy of the genetic code in two manners: having more than one tRNA (with a specific anti-codon) for a particular amino acid; and 'wobble' base-pairing, i.e. permitting non-standard base-pairing at the 3rd anti-codon position.
Source: RNAcentral